GACGAACGCUGGCGGCGUGCUUAACACAUGCAAGUCGAACGGAAAGGCCCUGCUUUUGUGGGGUGCUCGAGUGGCGAACGGGUGAGUAACACGUGAGUAACCUGCCCUUGACUUUGGGAUAACUUCAGGAAACUGGGGCUAAUACCGGAUAGGAGCUCCUGCUGCAUGGUGGGGGUUGGAAAGUUUCGGCGGUUGGGGAUGGACUCGCGGCUUAUCAGCUUGUUGGUGGGGUAGUGGCUUACCAAGGCUUUGACGGGUAGCCGGCCUGAGAGGGUGACCGGCCACAUAGGGAGAGAGAUACGGCCAAGACGCCGAGGGGGGGCGGCAGUGGGGAAGAGUGGGGAACGGGGGGAGGCCUGAUGCAGCAACGCCGCGUGAGGGAUGACGGCAUUGGGGGUGGAGACCGCAUGAGCCUGUGACGAGGCGGGAGGGAGGGGGAUGGGUAAAGAAGCAGCGGCUAACUACGUA
This 468-nucleotide ribosomal RNA is filed under the name uncultured bacterium. Its description in RNAcentral is "partial 16S ribosomal RNA". It matches the Rfam family "Bacterial small subunit ribosomal RNA", at positions 28 to 507 of the family's 1533-position model. The record is from RNAcentral.